Molecule: transfer RNA, 71 nt
Filed under: Loxodonta africana (African savanna elephant)
Lineage: Eukaryota; Metazoa; Chordata; Mammalia; Proboscidea; Elephantidae
Rfam family: tRNA
About the family: Transfer RNA (tRNA) molecules are approximately 80 nucleotides in length.
Source: Rfam by way of RNAcentral
GCGUCGGUAGUUCAGUGGUAGAAUUCUCGCCUUCCACGCAGGAGACCCAGGUUCAAUCCUCAGCCAACGCA